GCAGGAUAUGACAUAACAGACAGCUCACCCUUGAGCAGAGGUGAAAAAAAGCUUUCUACAAUCCCUGUUUUUUCCCUUGCCAGCACUUUCUAUUUGCUUUCUCUCACUUCCUCAUUUCCUACCCACACAGCUUCUGACUUUAAAUGAGAAUGCAUGCCAUAAAGUGAACUCCUGGGAUAGUGAUAUGUCUUCAUGCCAUUAUAGAAAUGUGCUUUUCACCUGAUCUGAUCUGACUUCUUUACAGAAUCUGUCCAUCUAGAGGUGCAUUUGCUGCUUUUGAAAGGAGGACGUUUCACUUGGAUUCGAUCUGGUUGAGCAGAUCUGUCUGCUGCACUCACCUGGUCCCUGCCCGCCAGGUGCAUGCUGGGUAGGGGCACCACAGCUCUUCAUGAGCCAAAAAGCAGCACUAAUGGCAAGAGAACUUUGCCGUCACCAACAGGGACACAAGGGACUUUUAAUACCACCAUCACCCGUCCUUUAUUCUUUCAGUCCCUUCCAUUCCCUUGCUUCAGGGUUUUCUACAUUGCUGGACACAGAGGUUCACAGACAGCCUACGCUGCUGAUGUGAAAACCGAGGGAAUUAGCUGCAAACCUCCUCCGCCCACAGAACAAGGACACGAUGAACACGGCAAAUGGAUCUCCACAUGGUAAGUGUAAGAGGAAGGAAAACAUUCACAGCGGCUCAUGAGGGGACGGGAUUGAACUGUGACGGAGACACUGACACGACACGCAGAUGGGACAAUCUCUCGAGGGGCUUGCUCAUGUUCUGAGUCACCAAUCUGCUGCAGGUACUAAAAUAUUUAUGGAUGUGUAAAUAUGAAUGUGUAGGUACUCUGUAGGUUGUAUAAAAUUGAAGUGGAAAUCUGUGAAGAGAGUCGUUCUUCUUUCUCUCAUCUUACUGUCUGAAAUCUUGUUUAUCGGUG
Cyprinus carpio carpio is the source of this 923-nucleotide long non-coding RNA. NCBI's taxonomy places the organism in Eukaryota, Metazoa, Chordata, Actinopteri, Cypriniformes, Cyprinidae. The record is from Ensembl.